CAGUAGCCACGGGAAUACGUAGGUGGCAAGCGUUGUCCGGAAUUAUUGGGCGUAAAGGGCUCGCAGGCGGUUUCUUAAGUCUGAUGUGAAAGCCCCCGGCUCAACCGGGGAGGGUCAUUGGAAACUGGGAAACUUGAGUGCAGAAGAGGAGAGUGGAAUUCCACGUGUAGCGGUGAAAUGCGUAGAGAUGUGGAGGAACACCAGUGGCGAAGGCGACUCUCUGGUCUGUAACUGACGCUGAGGAGCGAAAGCGUGGGGAGCGAACAGGAUUAGAUACCCGGGUAGUCCCUGUCUCUUAUAU
RNAcentral lists this ribosomal RNA (301 nucleotides) under uncultured bacterium. RNAcentral describes it as "partial 16S ribosomal RNA". It matches the Rfam family "Bacterial small subunit ribosomal RNA", at positions 509 to 809 of the family's 1533-position model. The record is from RNAcentral.